UGGCUACUUCAGUGCAUCUGACCCCCAC
RNAcentral lists this non-coding RNA (28 nucleotides) under Homo sapiens (human). Lineage: Eukaryota; Metazoa; Chordata; Mammalia; Primates; Hominidae. The record is from RNAcentral.